UAUACUUUGAGUGCCUGCAGCCCAGAUGGGAUAGUGGUUAAACUUUUAUAGCAUAGGGUUCGCCACAAAUAUUGUCAGAAAACGAAAUUAACCGUGGUCGCCAUAAGCUAUCGGCUUCUGCGAAGCGAUUCGAUAUGGACACUUCCCUUUUAUGGCGACUUGGAAACCGAGUUGUCGCUACCGUCCGUAGUAUCGCGCGAUCGACGAUAAAGCGUGUGCCUUUAUAUAAUAGUUCAUGAAGAGAGUCAGGAAAGAUGAAAAGAUAGAAUACGCCUGCUUUCAGGCACACAAGUCGCAACAUUGCGGUAGCGCGCAUAGGACGCAUUGUCUAAUUGGAAAAGGAGCAAAUGGAAUUGAUAGAAGGUGUAUCGAAAGUCCAUUCUGCAAGCGAAGCUAGCGGACAUUACGCCGCAAGUACAAUACUAUGACCGCAGUACACACGUAUGGUGUACAUAUAUAUGAGCGGAGAAUCCAGCGGACUACGUGCCGCUAGGAGACGAAAUUUAGCGAGUAAAUACUCAAAGUUCUUUAGAGACCUGCGAGCGAGAAACAACUGAGUUUCAUUUAGAGAAAAUAUGUUCGGAAGGAUAAAUAUAUUUUACUCACAAAAAUUAACUGUCAGUGGUCAAGUUUUUGUUUUUCGAAGCCCGGCACGUAAAAAUAAAUAAAUAAAUAAAAAAAAAAAAAGAACAGAGAUUGGAGAAUUAAGCACUAGCGAGGACCCGGAGGGGACAAGGAUGCAUUGCCGCAAUUGCAUAGGCUGUUCGCGAAAGCAGAGCGUGGAGUCCAAGGGUUUUGUUGGCCAGAACAGGCGUUUCAUAUGUAACGUGUUACAAAAUUAUGAUUCAAACAAUGAGAAAUGAGUAAAAUGCAUUUCCCUUGAAUUGACUCUACGCCAGUUGAAAAUGCGUGCAGUAACUUCCAUGUGCAACUUGUGGAAAAGCCUAAAGCUUAGGGUCGCAACAGACGAGGCGUGGUUCAUCUCUUCCCUCAGACGAAGAAGGAUUAGGCAAGUGAAUGACGCCGCUCUGGAAAGAAAUCGAGUUCGAUGGCAAUGUGGAGUAGGUUUGGUAGUACUUGCAAAGGGGUAUCGGAAGCAUUCGCUGCUAUGAAAUUCUCGCAGAAAACGGAACAAUGAAUACAGCUCACUAUCUAGAGCCAAAGAGUCAUGGAACGUGUGUACGGAUUGUUGACAAUCAAAAACACACGGUCUUGUUGCCUUACGACAACGUCAGACCUCACCGUCAUGCCUCUAUUACUUCUAUGUAGAUCUAGCAAGGAUAUUAGUCUCAGCCCACCUAUUCUCCCGAUCUAAGUUCGUAUUAUUACGGCGUCUUUCCAUGCCCUGCAAAAGAACACUGGUGGGCAAGCAUAUUCCACUGCAGCAUAUCGAACUAUCCCAUCAAGGAUGAGGUGUGCUGUACCAGAUACUCCGAAAUGACGAGAAAUUGGGCUUUCCACCGAUGCCCCUUCCUGGCGAAGCCUUUUUAGCUGUCGCUUUCAACAUAUCUAGAUUGUAUAAUAACUUUGCGCAAGUGAAAGUGCCAAUCAUCACCUCAACAUCAAACCGUCUAGAAGGCAAACAUUUUAUAUAGAUAACACAGCGAGCUCUAUGAUAUACUCAUUGUCAUACUACUGCCAUGACGGCUAGAGGCAGCACAGUUCAUUUACAGGCAGCCUAAGUUAUCGAUAAAUAACGAUAAUAAUAAUAAAAAUCGCGAGCGGCACCUAUUCGGAGAGGAAGCAAAUGAGAGGACGAACGUUCUUUUUUCAGCAGUUCUAAUUCCAUUCUAGUUCUGGUUUCUGUCGUGUAGCGCAGAGAAUUUUACUGGUAAAAUUUGCUGACUGUAGUUAGGUCGAAUCCUGUUGUAUGUACUAUCAGAGAACAGAAUGAUAGUUAGCGGUGAUCUUUUUUGCGGUUAGCUCGCUGGUCGGUUGGUCGACUAACGAAUCGCCUUGGUCAUGGCAACCUCAUCACGUCUUCUCUUGCCUUCCAGUUAGCCGAUUUUACAAUGAAUCGGCCGUACUGUUGCGGCUGUUGUUCUGUUGGACAUCAGUUCAGAUUCGCUGUCUGCAGUGCCCUCGUGUGUCCUGCUUCGAGCCAUGUUCGCUGUGGUAAUAAAAACGUUCAAUGUAACUGCACACUUUAGCAGUUAGCCUAAAUCACUGAAUUCAUCGUCGAGAGACGCUUAUCUAAGACAGUCAGAUAGCGCGUUCACACCAUAUAACCCGUGGUCGAACUCGUAAGCCUACAUGUGUUGGGAGCGCCCACAAAAAUAGCAGCGACUUUAUCAACUUGCGAUAUUAGCUGAAGCUGCGGGCAACAGCGAUAACAAUGAUGGAAACCGCCGUGGAAGCUAUCGUGGAUCGAGCAGCGCAAACAGACGGCAUACAAUUAGAUUUUUGUUACAUGUGUAAUAUAAUGAGACAUGUAAAAUCUAAUUGUCUAAGCGUCGGAAUUUACACUUCUGUUAUGUCUAAAAAUUAAUUCCCGAAGAACACGCUCCGUUUACUGCAUCUGAGGUAGCCCAGAAUCAAGCCCGAACGAUACCGACAAUGUUUAAGUCGAUGCAUAUAGGAAUGAAACCCCCAGCAUCUAUCCGUGACUUUGUUCAAGAAUUAGCAUGUAAACCAUGUAAUCCCCAUAGACAGCAGAACUUUACAUAUGUCCCUAAGUUUUUAUAUAAAACAGGUACAGGAAUGAUUGGCAAAGCGCGAAAUGGAUGGUUUCCCUACGAUCAAGCAGUAACUCCUAUGAACGGUCCUAUUAUCACAUGGUCUGAGUAUCAAAUGCCAGGAGACAAAGCUAAAAUGUGGUCCUAUCGUUAUAAGAUAAUUAUUAAAGCAGUAGUUGCCUAUAAACGAUUUACUUCGUAUGGUUCUGAAUUACAAUCUCUUGUA
This 2901-nucleotide long non-coding RNA is filed under the name Varroa destructor (honeybee mite). RNAcentral describes it as "uncharacterized LOC111255138". Lineage: Eukaryota; Metazoa; Arthropoda; Arachnida; Mesostigmata; Varroidae. The record is from RNAcentral.